GGAGUCUAGCAUGUGCGCAAGUCAUUGGGACUAGCGAAACCUAAAGGCGAAAUGAAAGUGAAGGUCCGCCUUGCGCGGACCGAGGGAGGAUGGGCCGUGUCACGAUGCGGCCCCGCACUCCCGGGGCGUCUCAUUCUCAUUGCGAGAAGAGGCGCACCCAGAGCGUACACGCUGGGACCCGAAAGAUGGUGAACUAUGCCUGGUCAGGACGAAGUCAGGGGAAACCCUGAUGGAGGUCCGUAGCGAUUCUGACGUGCAAAUCGAUCGUCGGAACUGGGUAUAGGGGCGAAAGACUAAUCGAACCAUCUAGUAGCUGGUUCCCUCCGAAGUUUCCCUCAGGAUAGCUGGCGCUCGCUUUGCGAGUCUCAUCCGGUAAAGCGAAUGAUUAGAGGCAUUGGGGUCGAAACGGCCUCAACCUAUUCUCAAACUUUAAAUGGGUGAGAUCUCCGGCUUGCUUGAACGUGAAGCCGCGAGAUUUCGGAUCAGAGUGCCAAGUGGGCCACUUUUGGUAAGCAGAACUGGCGCUGUGGGAUGAACCAAACGCCGAGUUAAAGCCCUAAAUCGACGCUUAUGGGAUACCAUGAAAGGCGUUGGUAACUUAAGACAGCAGGACGGUGGCCAUGGAAGUC
This 629-nucleotide ribosomal RNA is filed under the name Metopsia clypeata. Its description in RNAcentral is "eukaryotic LSU rRNA". It matches the Rfam family "Eukaryotic large subunit ribosomal RNA", at positions 670 to 1262 of the family's 3401-position model. The record is from RNAcentral. Lineage: Eukaryota; Metazoa; Arthropoda; Insecta; Coleoptera; Staphylinidae.